UGGAAUCCAAAGCAUCUAUUUAUUACUUUAUUGUAGUUUGUCGUUCCAGGCUUUUCAGAAAUUGAGAUUAAAAAAUAUAAACACAAUAGAUGGCUAAGGUCAUGAAGGGGGCAUCUGUGUUUUAGCUUGAAGCAAAGGGCAUCUUGGCUCAAUUGACACAGCCUGGAUAUUAGAAACCAAAGAUGUUAUCUGCAGCCUCCACAGCCUUCUUUUUGGCGUCUGGGUUCAUCUUGUCAAUGACCUCCUUGCGCGGCUUAAACUUGCGGAAGCUGAAUUCUGCAAAUAGAACAAAAGGACUGUACAGUUUUCAGUGGUUUACAUUUAGACACCUCACCUCCAGUGAUGCCAUUGGAAUCCUCCUGAUGGAACAGAAUACGGUUGCUAUCAGACCAAGCAACGAGUUUGAUGCGGUACACCUGUACUGAAAAACAUGAGCUGUGACCGAAAUACAAAGGGCAGCCUGGGCACAAACCUUGAAGUACGGGUUUUGCAUAUCAGGGUACCUUAGGACCCCGAUGUCAAUUAUGGUCUUCUCGUGGUGCUCAUGCUUGGCAAAGAAAGUUUCAAAGCUGUUAAUGGUCGCCCCUGACUGAGCAACAAAGAACUUCAAUGUCAAUCUUGGUUGAUUUCAGGACGUCCUCAUCUGCAAUGAGAUUCACAAACCAGGUCUGAACCUGUGACGAGAGAAGGCCGCAACGGUUACUAGAGCUCUUCUAUAAUACAUAACUUCUAUUACCGCUUUCACAAUAGCUGCAUCCGGUGACCCGUCAAACUUGAAAUCGCCAGAGCUUUUGUUGAGAAACUUGUCAGCUCUGCUAAUCCCAUCGCCCAUUGGCUCAACCAGGGGAUUUUGCAUGAACAUGGAGUUGACCUUCUCCCAAGUUCGCUCUUUCGGUGCCACUUUGGCUAGAAGGUCUGUGGUUCCCGAGAUGCAAACUUUGAGAACCUCAUCCAUCUUCUUCACUGUUUCUGCAUUCAAUGCCCCAAACGAUGGUGCCAGGUUGGUUUGGAGGUAGUCCUCAGCACUCUUGGAACGCACAUCAAUCUGGAGCAUUCCACAAGGAGUUAAACACUGCUUUGGGCAAGACAGGUUCAACUUUACCUUGCUGAAAUCAAAAUUCGCCACAAUGUCACCAAUCUCCUUGAAUGAACCGAAGGCUCCCUGGAUUGUCGCCAUGGUUGCCAUUGCAAUUCACCUUCAGAAGAGGUAUGUACACCAGAAGAGGUAUGUACACUCAAUUUUUAUAGGGGUAAAUGAGUUAGUUUAGUGCAGGAAACAUAUUUAAACCAAAAUGAAGUAUAGCUUGACUCAUCGCGUCAUACAUAUACCUCCAAAAAUGCAGGUAUACCCGGAUUGAGCGUUCUGAAAGAUUAGUUUAGUGCAGAAAACUAGAUCGAUGCAGGAACGCAUCUACACCAAACGCGUUCGGUGCAGAAAACGCCAAGCCUCCUUCGGUGCAGUAGUCUAGCUUGACCCAAUCAUAUUCUUUACGCAUAUGCUUCUAGGGCAUGAUAAGGGUGCAGCCCUUAACUUGUUGGGAUUCUUCCUCUCCUCGCCAAACGCGUAGGCCCCAGGCAGUCGCUGGAACCGCAUUGUGUCGCAAAGGAACCAGUGCUUGUGGAAAACCACAGGUCCACUAAGUCAACUUUGACAGCAUGGUCUCAGAGAGUGGUGAAACGAAAUGGGCCAUGAACGUCAACAGGGUGAAAUGACACACUUGUUUCACACGCUGGUCAGGGGCCUUUUGAGAGAGUAGCAAAAGCUUGAUUGGGCUUGUGAGCCUGACUUGUAUCCAUCCAAGGCCGGCGUGAGAUGCUUUGGGUGCCCAAGACUAGGGAGGCGUUGCGGGCAUCUGUUUUUCCGAGAGUACGAAGGGAUGAGGUUGCUGCAGUAGUGUGACUAGCAAAUCAACGUAGCCGUACAUGUGUAUAGAUUAAUUCCUGAGUUCAAGUAUGAAAUCAAUGAAAAGCUAACAUUUUCAAUGACUGAAGACUAUGUUGACUAAAUAUUGACUUUUAGCGAAGUUCUACUGUCAAACUAUUUGCUUAAUUAGACUCACGCUUCUGAAUUGUACAGAUCAAGAAGAAAUCCUACCUUUGGCUUUGCAAGAUGGCAUGCCCCAAGUUGAAUGCCAGUGCCAAUCUCAAGCGAUCCAAAGCACCAGGCUCUGCAGUGUCUCAGGGGAGCAAAGGGCCGCCUUAACCUUAAUCAAGUAACAGUUGUGGAAGAGAGAGCACCACAUCUAGCAUGUGGCUUGUGGCAGCCAAGCAUUUAUAAUGACAUUGUUUUUUGAUCCUUUGAUGUUAGCUUUUCUUAUCAUUGUGAAGUAAAAUUCACCAAGUCACCCACCAAUAGAGAAUGUGAGUUGGGUUUAAAUCGUCAAGAGACAUACUAAUGAGCUGUGCUGUAAUAAUAAUUCAACUUAGUAUGAAAGAUUUGCACAAUUGGUAAUUCGGCUUGGUUGAAAAACCAGUGGCGCGAAGCUACCAUGUGUGGGAUUACGACUGAACGCCUCUAAGUCAGAAAGGAUGUCGUUCUCUAGCCAGUCCCUGGCGAGGAAGAGUUCCUGGAGGCAGCAGAGUAGAGUGUUUGUUUCGGACUCUCUAACCAGCACUUGCUCCGGCCAUUCCAGCAGCUCCACCUGAUCGAUCGGAAGUUUAGAGUGUAAACGAGAUGUGAGAACAGCUCCAUAUCGAUUCUUGGAGCAAGGACAGCCAGAAUUUACAUGGAAAGGUUCCAGAUUUUAGAAGCUGCAAGCCAGGGUUUUAGCGAGGAAGAAGAAGGAACGGAUUGGUAAAGUAAUCACCGCUACUCUGCCAAGUGCAGCGAGGUUUUCGGUGUAGGAAGCCUCCCUACGACGCAGAUCUCUAAUGUUUUGCAACGCUGCCUUGAAGCUCUUGUACCUACGUCAAGUUAGAAGUGAGCUCCGGAUAGUUUCGCAGCUGUAUAAAGGGAGUACCUUGCUAGGAACGACUGGCCUUGAUGCUUCGUUGCUCCCGAGCCAAGGAUGUCACAGCCUCAAAAUGCUGGCACGGGAAAAGAGCGUUAAAAGUGUACGUGUAUCAAAUAUAACGUAAGACUGCUACCUCGAGAUUAUCCAGAUUAUCAGCUUCACCAGACGUUAUUGUGUUCAAAAGCUAUCCGCAAGAUCAGAAAGCCUCUGCUCGUCUCGGGCCAAUUGAAGCCACAUUAUCCUUUGGCCCUUCUUUCCAUGCUUUAAACUAUGAACAGAAGACAUAAAACACAGGUGAGAACCCCAAGCCUGGAAAGGAAGAGGAUACUAAACCCUGGCGAUGGCUGUGCUCACGGUAUCAAGUUCAUAGAGGCGGCAUACCUCUAGUGCCUGUUGCACAAAAUUCACAUUGAGAUUCAAGAAAACGUCACACCAAGACCAACCUUCAAUGCCAGUUUCUGAUUGGAACAUCUCUGCUUCAUUAGGAGAGCUUCAAGCAUUCCCAGGCCUUGCUUUGGGCAAGCCGCGAGGUAAACAGGUGCUAGCUGAGAUAAUUGUUAGACAGACAUCAAGAAGGAGGACAGUACUUGAGAAUAAACCAAACGAUGGAGUUCUGUCAAGGUCUUCUUCAAGAAGAGAUCGAACGUCCUCCCCUUUUGCUAUCAGGAGAUCAUCAACAUGCGCCAUCAUCCUGAUAGAAAAUUUAUAUAAAUAUUCGACAUGAGAAGUUCUUACCACUGUGACGGGGAAGAGCAUUUACCUCGGUGUCGUUGCUGAUAAUUGCAGAUAAAAGUUCUUGAAGGUCUUCGUCCCCAGAACUUUUCAAUCCUUUGCACUUGGAAGCUAUGCUACGCAUUCCAUCUAAGACCUGCACCUGAUAAUUGCAAAGUGAACUUAGCACACUACACAGUUCAUACAUGCCAAAGAAAAAGGUAUCAGAUGUAGGAAAUGCGCCACCACCAGCUCCAUCCAGUGAAACGUAGAGAGCUGUAGAACAUCAACGUUUCCCAAUAGCACCUGUAUUAGCUUUUGAAGACCAAGAAGCGUCCCACGGUGGUUGCAUUCCGCCCAAAACACACUAUUUUCAAGCUUGGAAACCUGACUUUGCCAUUUUUCCCUCGCCUGCAUGUAAUAAAAUCUAAGAAACUUGCUGCAACCACAUCAAACCUUAGAAAAGUCAGGCUUAAAACCUAUAGCAACACCAGGAAUUCCAUCAGGGAGCCUCGGGCGCAGCCGUGGCAUUUGCAUAAUGAGCAGUGUAACUGCUUCUAUGAGGCCAUUUUCAGUCUGCCAAGACAUAAAAAAGCAUCCAGAAGUUAACGCAAGUCAACAAAACAGCAUGGAGAAAGAAACCUGCCGGUGAUCGCAUUAAACACAAUAAUAGGAUCAAUACUCUUCACGGUAAUGUCGUUUUAUGUUUUGUUUUCUUCCUGCAGAUGUUUGGAGGUGUCGGAAUGGCAACAUUACCACUGAGCCUCGUAUUUGUGUUCAAGAAUAGGCCCAAGUGUUAUUACUCGUGCUCAAUACGUAAAGGUGUGUGGACGAGGAGGAUGAGCGAGUCUACGUCGCCGAUGCAUCGCGGGCAGGAAUGUACGGUAGUUUAUCAUGCCCUAAAAGCAUAUGCGUAAAGAAUAUGAAACGAUGUAUGAUUUUUUUCAAAGUCAUGUAUGAUUUUUUUCAAAGUCAUGUAGACUACUGUACCGAAGGAGGCUUGGCGUUUUCUGCACCGAACGCGUUUGGUGUAAAUGCGUUUCCUGCACCGAACUCGUGUUCUGCACUAAACUAAUUCAUCAGAACGCUCAAUCCACCUAAUCACGUUUUGUUUUUAGACCGGGUAUACUGCAUUUUUGAAGGUAUAUGUACGACAAAGUCAUGCAGCACGUGCUGCGAUGAGUCAAGCUAUACUUCAUUUUGGUAUAAACAUGUUUUCUGCACUAAACUACCUCAUUUACCCCAUUAUAAAAAUUGAGUCUUCUUCUGGUGUACAUACCUCUUCUCAAGGUGAGCUGCAAUGGCAACCAUGGCGACAAUGAAGGGAGCCUUCGGUUCAUUGAAGGAGAUUGGUGACAUUGUGGGGAAUUUUGAUUUCAGCAAGGUAAAGUGGGACCUGUCUUGCCCAAAGCAGUGCUUAACUCCUUGUGGAAUGCUCCAGAUUGAUGUGCGUUCCAAGAGUGCUGAGGAUUACCUCCACACCAACCUGGCACCAUCGUUUGGGGCAUUGAAUGCAGAAACAGUGAAGAAGAUGGAUGAGGUUCUCAAGGUUUGCAUCUCGGGAACCACCACUCUUCUCGCCAAAGUGCCACCCGAAGAGCGAACUUGGGAGAAGGUCAACUCCAUGUUCAUGCAAAACCCCCUGGUUGAGCCAAUGGGCGAUGGGAUUAGCAGAGCUGACAAGUUUCUCAACAAAAGCUCUAACGACUUCAAGUUUGACGGGUCACCGGAUGCAGCUAUUGUGAAAGCGGUAAUAGAAGUUAUGUAUUAUAGAAUCUAUUAACCUUUGCGGCCUUCUCUCGUCACAGGUUCACACCUGGUUUGUGAAUCUCAUUGCAGAUGAGGACGUCCUGAAAUCAACCAAGAUCGACAUUAAAGUUCUUGGGCGCAUUGUUGCUCAGUCAGGGGCGACCAUUAACAGCUUUGAAACUUUCUUUGCCAAGCAUGAGCACCACGAGAAGACCAUAAUUGACAUUGGGGUCUUAAGGUACCCUGAUAUGCAAAACCCGUACUUCAAGGUUUGUGCCCAGGCUGCCCUUUGUAUUUCAGUCACAGCUCGUGUAUUUGAGCAGGUGUACCGCAUCAAACUCUUUGCUUGGUCUGAUAGCAACCGUAUUCUGUUCCAUCAGGAGGAUUCCAAUGGCAUCACUGGAGGUGAGGUGUCUAAUGUAAACCACUGAAAAUUGCACGGUCCUUUUGUUCUAUUUGCAGAGUUCACCUUCCGUAAGUUUAAGCCACGCAAGGAGGUCAUUGACAAGAUGAACCCAGACGCCAAAAAGAAGGCUGUGGAAGCUGCAGAUAGCAUCUUUGGUUUCUAAUAGCCAGGCUAUGUCAAUCGAGCCAAGAUGCCCCCUGCUUCAAGCUAAAACAUCUUUCUAAAUAAUAAUCAAGUCCCUCAUGACUUUCAUUUACUGAAAAUAACAGUUUUUUAUAUUUUUUAAUCUCAAUUUCUGAAAGAGACAAUCAGGAAAACAACGACUUCAUAGACCUGGAACGACAAACUGCAAUAAAAGUAAUAAAUAUCUAAAAGCUACAUGCUUUGGAUUCCAAGUACUUUUGUCAAUGUAGCAAAUUUUUGCCGUCCACUGGAACAUUGAAAGGUGAUGAUAAGUUUAUCUAUCUAUCUAUAUACUGUUUAUAGUCUUGUGGUGCUCAUCAAGAAGCAUAAGUAUUCUUUGUGAUAUAUUAAUAAAAGGAAACAUGAGAUCAUUAUCAUUGUCUCGUUGGUCUCUGUAGAUUCUUCGCGCUCAAGGUUACCACAAGUUAGCCAGGGACAAGUUGAUGGCUUGGCUGUGAGUGCCAUUUGGCUCUCCAUCUGGUGCCGGAUUUUGUUGCUUUGAUGCAAACGACCCCAGGAACACUGUCGCAAUAAUAUUGUAGAGCAACAAGGUCUCUCAGACAAGGUAAUAUCUAAAUUGACUUUGACAAGGAACAAAACUUCGAGAAUAGAACUUCAGAGAAUGCUACUGGGCGUUUUUGUUGCAAACGGCUUGGCACAGCGCAGCCAGUGCUGAUGGAACAAGGCAAAGGGAGGCCCUCAAAACCAUUGAGCUUUUCCUCCUGUAACUCACGAACUUUGUCACGAGCAUAUUGUAAGUUUUCUUUGGCAAAUGCUUGCGUCCUGAUCAGUUGUUUCAGGCUAUUUCGGCAGCGCAUCACAGGUGUGACAUCUCCUGCUAUGAUCCUAGAGAUCUACUCCGGGAGUAGAUUUCUCGCUCGUUCAAGACGAUCCAGAUGUUAAGGCAGUUGUAAAUUUUUAGAUUAAUUGUUCCUAGUGUUCCUCUAACAUGGCACUGUUUGGGUUUGAAAUCUAGUAAGCUAAAUGCGCAGGCCAUGCAUUUUGUACAAUGUAUCCAAUUUUUCCAAAACAACAAUUCCCUUUUUUCUUUUCUUACUUUCUUGUCCAGCUGAGAACACAGGUUUGUCUAGCUCAAGCAUGAGUCGUUCUGACAUGAUUGAAUUUAUCCUUGCUCGUAUUUACGACCACAAUCUAAAGUGAUGCUUGCCUUCCAUGCAAGCCUCGCAAUCCCCUAAACCAUGAAGUCAGUCCAAAUCACAAGCAGUAACAAGGUUCUGCUUGACAAUGGGGUACAUGUCCAAAGCGGCGAUGCCACAGCAACAUACGCAACUCUCUUGUUAAGAAAAUUCGGAAAGGUGGGAUCAUUAUAGCAUCUAGCUUGUAAAUACUGGCAUAUCUGCUUCCAUACAUAGACUCGCAGAGUGAUAGAAAUACCAUUGGGAUCGCCAGAAAGAUGAUAACGAUGCAUCCAAGGAAAGUAAAUUCUCUGUCAACUCGGAAACAUAAAAGACAUCUUCUAUAAGUCAAGUCUCGCCAUUCUUGAGCUGGACCAUCAUGGUGCCAACGCCCUUGGCCUCAUAAAAGCGUCCUCCAGCAGCACGAAUGCGCUUACCAGUCAGAAUCUCACUAUAAGUCUGAUAAACAUCCUUGAACAGCAUGACAUGAAAUGCUGCAGCAGUGUUGAGCUAAAGAAUUUCUGACUCCAAGGGACCAUAGCUUGCCAUAUAUGCACAAGAUUGUGUGGAAUUAUUUGCACUUUGGCUAGCACGGUCAGGAGGAACAUACUUGCCUGAGGCGAUAGCAACAGCCUUUAGGACACUCCUUUGCGUAAUUGCCAGGCUUACAACGACUAGGCCACCUCUUCUGUUUAUUGGAGUUGCUCCCACUGGGAUUGCUGAAGAGAAGAAGAGCGGAAGCUACGAUGGUGGAUAACUCCAAGGAUAGUCGUAUAUAAUAUCAAAGAUAUAUAUACAUGAUGAAGAGACAUGCCUCUAGCCUACACCUGGAUCAGUGAAGUGGCACUCCUGCCAUCUAGGAUCAUGUCAUAGAGAGCGUAUACUCAACAAUUGCUUCCACUCCGACUCACAGCAGGAAUUGAAGUGGUAGAACCAGAAGGAUAGGCCUCUUGAGCUAUAAAGACUGUUGCCUUGGCUGCCUUUCCUGAUGCCAUACGUAAAUUAUGCUGCCAUUGUUCCUCCUUGAGUGCAACACAUAUUUGAAGAAAGGUAAGCUUCAUUUGCAUACUCUGUAAAGACGUGCAGAUCUGUUGGAAAUGCUCAAUAUCUAGAAUACCAUUCAAUAAUGCUGCUCAUUUGUCCACAUCUGUGACAGCUUGCUUUGCUGCUCUAAGGCAAACCUCAAUAUAAUUUAAUUUAUAUCAUUGAUAAAUUUCUCAAUGGGUUCACGCCCUUUCAAGGUCACAACAUGCUCCUCUGUCUGUGCUCCAAGAAUUUGGGAUAAAGGAGUCCAAUUCUCGCUGGAAAUCUUGGCACAAUCAAGAAGAUGAAUUUACUGCUCACCAAGACCAAUCUUGAUUAUGGAAAAGACUCACUUUUUUCGAAUUUUCCAAUCACGCUACUCCACAAUGGCGCCCUGCUGCUGCUUGCCAUAUGACUGUGAACAUGCAACAAUCUCCCGUGAUUAAUACAGAGAUCGCAGGAAGCAUGGUGUACCAUUCACAGCUCUAAUACCAUGAUGAUACUGCUAAAGAGCAUCUUGAUCUAUUACACCCUAGGUAUAGAGGAACAGAACCUGCCUAUGUGGCAUAGAGCUACUAACAUCCUGAAAGCCUGCUCCUUAUUGUCUUUGGGCACGAUGACAUGAAAGCUUUUCUUUCUAACUUUGAUAGGGGACAUUUUGACAUGACUCCUCGUUAUUUGAUGUCCCAAAUGAAGUCAAAAUAAUAGAAUAAAGAAAAGGCCUUACAAUCAAGUGAUUACCCCUUUAAUCAAUUAGCAUAAGAUGUAAAGGAUAAGAUCCUAACAAUGAAUAAGGUUUAGUUCUUUAGUGGCCGGCAAUGGAGUUCCAGUGAAUCUGGGACAUGCUGAAAGAUUGUCCUGCCCAAAUGCUUAUCGAAGAGCACUAUCAAAAGAGUCAUCAUGGAACUUCCAGGAUGGAAGUUCUUCAGCAAGUUGAAUCGGCCACACGGGGCAAAGCAUCAGAAGCUCAAGAUUGAUGCAGCUGUAAGUUGGUUGAUUAAAGGGUGGCCUAAAUAUAAUUGGGUGUUAAGCACCAUGCCAAGAUAAUAGGAUAAAGAAAAAGCUUUACAAUCAAAUAAUCACCCAUUUAGCCAAUUAGGAUAGGAUCCUAACAGCUGGUUCCUUGGUGGCCAAGGAGUACUACAAUGCAAUGGCAAUGCAGUUCCAGUGAAUCUAGGACCUGCUGAGAGAUUGUGCUGCCCAAACACUUAUCGAAGAGUGCUACCAAAGGAGUCAUCAUGGAACUUCCAUGAUGGAAGUUCUUCAGCAAGUCGUGCAAUAUCAUCAUGGGCCAGGGGAAAAGUAUCAGAAGCUCAAGAUUGUGAUAUGCUACACAGCUGCAGGCCAUUUCGGCCAGUUUCUCAUGCUCCAAGCAAGAAGCAUACGUGAUUCACUGAGAAAAUUCUGUUUUCUAACGUUCUUUUGGCGUAGGGAGUCCUCAUGCCAGUGACUGACGUGCUGGAUGGACUGAGCAAGCUCUACUUCUUGUUGCUACGAAUGGAUGUGAGCGUGGCCGCUGAAACCCUGUGAGUGAUGAACAAGCUCGCACCGAUUCCGUACUGAGUAGAUCAUUUCAGGCCUCCACUUGAUACGUUUGUUCCCCAUGGUCACUGCGAAAUCAUGCUCACGCGUGAAGAGAAUCAUAGACUUCGAAGUGUAUUCGUCUGUCUUGCUGGUCUCGAGGCCGCUUACAUCGCUGCCAUAGAAGCUGGAGGACAUAUGAUCAGUAGCGUGUUUGGGCCUACACUUGAGUCCAAGGAGGUAGAACUCAUGCGCGAGGUGACUCUCUCUGCCAUCCCGAAGCACACGUCCUCUCGCUUAGGUUCUGAUAUCUCGGAAUCAUCAGAACGAUCUUCUUCAUCAGACAGUAGCAGCGGCAGUGGCGGCAGGAGGAGAAAGAGAGCGAGAUUGGCGACGGUCACCAAGAGCACGGAAGUGAUCAAGGCGAUGAAGGCGGUCUACGAGGUGGAAACUCUACCGCUCUGUGUGAAGAAAUACCCCGACAACAAGGAGGACAUGUGCGACAUGGUGUAGGGAGUUUUGCGAGGAUUGAAAGCUUUGCACAAAGCUGGUAAGCUUUCUUAAUUUUCUUUUCUUCUAGUGUCUGUCUCAUCCUGGACAAGAUCAUGUAUGACUACUCGAAAGAGAAGUACGUGCUGAUCGAUCUGGAGAGCGUCAGCAAGAAUGAAGAAGUGCCAGCGUUUCGAUUUAAAGGCUGGAUCGCGACAAGGCUGGAGGCCGACUGGCACUACACGAUUUAAUCCGACUUCCAUCAACUCGGACUCGUGCUCCAGUCUACAGAAGUCAAGGACUGCUCUUUGGUUCAUCGAUUUGCUCUUGAGCAGGCCUCAGGCGACCAGUGCUAAAAGGCUUCUCGAACACAAGUGGAUCUCGCGAGUACACAGAAUAAGAAUAUGCCAUAGAAGAAUUAGGGCGGACGUGGAUUAUACUACCUUAGAAUUUAGGGCUGACGUAGAUUAUGCCUAUUCUUAGAAUAUGCUUUAAACUCAAACGAAUUUUAGGGCACGACAGACUAUUCCUCGGAAAUGCGCGGGGACGAGGAGGAUGAGCGAUCCCGGGCGUCGGGCUACGUCGUGCUGCUGCGGCGAUGCAUCGCGGGCAGGGAUCUGGAGGGCGGCCGGCGAUUGCACGCGCAGAUCGUCCGCUCUGGCUGGCACACCGAUCUCUUCGUCGCCUACCAAAUGCCAGAGGCCGACGAGGAAGGAGAAAUCGACGAGAAAAACUCCGCCGUGGAGCCCAAUCUCCUCAUCCAGAUGUAUGGCGCCUGCCGCUCCAUUGCCAGCGCCAUGGCCGUCUUCCGCGAGCUCCGCGUCCGCAACCUCUUCACCAUCAACAUCACCAUCGUCGCGCUUGCCCAGAACGGCUGCUUCCGCGACGCGCGAUCCCUGUUCGUGGAAUCCCCCCGCCGCGACGUCAUCACCUGGAACUCGAUGCUCACCAUCGCCGCGCAGCGCCUCCGGAUCGGCGAGGCGCGGGAGGUCUUCGCGCGGAUGCCUGCCCGGAGCGUCGUCUCGGCGAACGCGAUGAUCGCAGCAUUUGCCCAAUGCGGGCAAAUUCGCGAAGCCCAGGAGUUCGUCCGCGACGCCGAGAGGGACGUCUCGAGCUGGAACAAUUUCCUCCACGCCAGCGUCUCCUCUAGCGAGGUCGAUCUCGCGCGAUCGGUCUUCGAUGCUAUGCCGCACUGGGCACGGCCGAUCGGCGCUCCAGCUGCUGGAACCAUGUGCGCGCCCGAUGCGAUCACAUUCUCGUGCGUGCUCUGCGCGUGGAGCCACAUUGGAUCGCUGGAUCACCUUGUUGAACAUAGAAGGAUAAUGGCCACGUUGAAAAGAAACGAGUUCAUGAGCGUGCCUUGGUACCUAUAGUUUCAUAGAAAAAAAAAAUUUUUAAUAAAAAAUGUGCUUACUUCAUUGGAUGAAUGGAAUGCAUCUCUCCAGAUAUGACAGACAUGACGAGGUAGUAGCAAAAGAUUGCAAACGCGGUGGUUCCUAGCAAGCCUGAAAGGAAGGAACCAAAUCAGAUUUAGAAAUCGCAUCUACAGCAAGUACCCCAAGCACUGUCGAGCUGAAUAAAGACUUGGUUCAGAAACGGAAAAGCUGGAGGAUUGACUAGCAUGAAAACAAUGAUGUGGAGAAGCCAAAUUAUAGACAAAGCCAAGCUGCAACAAGAAAAAGAAAAGAAAAAGUGAAUAUCUUUGUCAAGCCUUCGGAGUCUAUUUCUUACCCGAGAAUGCCAAAAACAAGCUUGGCUAAGUAGAAAAGAACUGUAACAGCCCAGGAUGUGUCUGCCUGAGAGAAAAUCCAGCAAUGAAAUAACUUAAAUGGGAAACUAGAGAUACCUUCUCUCCCUGUGGGAAUGCCUCAUUCAGAGCUUGAACAUCAUCUUCCAAAAAGACAAGCUCCUGAAUCGAGCUACACAUAUGCAUUUGUCAACACGAUCACGUCCACCAUUGUUGUUGUUGUUGUUGUUUUUUUUUUUCUUCUCUGGAGCUGACCUGCUGGACUUUCUUCACAUUUUUCCGAAACUUUCGUCCUUUCUUCCCACCUCUUUCUUCUCAUUGGAGACCCAAGCUCGUUGGAGCGCUUGGCUAAGUCAGUCGCCUCCUGCCAAUCACCUUGAAGAGAUUAGUUGCAAGAAACGUAAAAAGAAUUGAAACACAAGAACAAGAUUGAGUUCAAAGCAUAUUCUAAGGAUAGGCAAUCUACGUCAGCCCUAAUUCUUCUAUGGCAUAUUCUUAGCAUAUUCUAGGUAUUUUUUCAGAUUCUCACAGGGAACUCGCAAGAUCCACUUGUGUUCGAGAAGGCUUUUAGCAGUGGUCGCCUGAGGUCUGCUCAAGAGAAAAUCGAUGAACUCCAAGCAGUCCUUGCUCUUUGGUUCGACUUCAGUAGACUGGAGCACAAGUCCGAGUUGAUGGAAGUCGGAUUGAAUUGUGUAACGCCAGUUGGACUCCAGCAUUGUCGCGAUCCAGCCUUUAAAUCGAAACGCUGGCACGUACUUCUCUUUAAUUCUCUUUCGAGUACACAUGAUCCUGUGCACCAAGCCCGAAAGUUUGUAAACAAGGAUGAGACAGACACUAAGAUCAAAAGACAGAAGGAAAGAAAGUUGAGAAAGCUUGCUUUCAAUCCUCACAAAACUCCAUACGCCAUGUUGCGCAUGUCCUCUCUGUUGUCAGGCUAUUUCUUCGCACAGAGCGGUAGAGUUUCCACCUUGUAGACCGCCUUCAUCGCCUUGAUCACUUCCUUGCUCUUGGUGACCGUCGCCAAUCUCCCUCCUGCUGCCAUUGCUGCUGCUACUGUCUGAUGAAGAAGAUCGUUCUGAUGAUUCCGAGAUAUCAGAAGAGCACGUGUGCUUCGGGAUGGCAGAGAGAGUCACCUCGCGCAUGAGUUCUACCUCCUUGGACUCAAGUGUAGGCCCGAACACGCUACUGAUCAUAUGUCCGCCAUCUCCUAUGGCAGCCAUGUAAGCAGCCUCGAGACCGGCAAGACAGACCUCGUGCUCAGCAGAAUACGCUUCGAAGUCUACGAUUCUCUUCACGCAUGAGCUUGAUUUCGCAGUGACCAUGGGGAACAAACGUAUCAAGUGGUGAUCUAGUCAGUACCGAAUUGGUGCGAGCUUGUUCAUCACUCACGGGGUUUCAGCGGCCACGCUCACAUCCAUUCAUAGCAACAAGAAGUAGAGCUUGCUUAGUCACAUCCAGCACGUCAGUCACUGGUGUGAGGACUCCCUGCGCCAAAAGAACGUUAGAAAACUGAGUUUUCUCAGUGAAUCACGUAUGCUUCUUGCUUAGAGCAUGAAAAACUGGCCGAACUGGCCUAUAGCUGCGUAGCAUAUCACAAUCUUGAGCUUCUGAUACUUUGCCCCUGGCCCAUGAUGAUACUGUGCGGCUGAUUCAACUUGCUGAAGAACUUCCAUCAUGGAAGUUCGAUGGUGACUCCUUUGGUAGCACUCUUCGAUAAGUGUUUGGGCAGCACAAUCCCUCAGCAGGUGUCCCAGAUUUGCUGGAACUGCAUUGCCAUUGCAUUGUAGUACCACUAAGAAAUCAAGCCUCAUUCACUGUUAAAAUUCUAUCCUUUACACUUUAUAUUAAUUGGCUAAAGGGGUGAUCUUUUGAUUAUAAGGCCUUUUUUUAUCUUAUUAUCUUAAUCUGGUGUCUAGCAAUCCAGAUCAAUUGGCCUGCAACUGUAUAACAUAUUACAAUCUUGAGCUUCCAAUACUUUGCCCCCUGCCCAUGAUGAUAUUGCAUGGCCGAUUCGACUUGCUGAAGAACUUCCAUCAUGGAAGUUCCAUGAUGACUCCUUCAGUAGUGCUCUUCGAUAAGCAUUUGGGCAGCACAAUCUCUCAAAAGUCGGAUAGAAAAGAUUUCAUGUCGUCGCGCCCAGAGAUGAUAUUGAGCAGGCUUUCAAUGUUAAUAGCUUAGUCACUGGCUCUAUGCCACAUAGGCAGGUUCUGUUCCUCUGUACCUAGGGUGUAAUAGAUCAAGAUGCUCUUUAGCAGUAUCAUCAUGGUAUCAGAGCUGUGAAUGGUAGACCGUGCUUCCUGCAAUCUCCGGCACUGUAUCAAUCGCAAGAGAUUGUUGCAUGUUCGCAGUCACAUGGCGAGCAGCAGCAGUGGUGCUAUUGUGGAGUAGCGCCUUAUCCCUGUCUACAAGGGAGAAUUCCACACAUGGGCAGCGCUGUUGAAGGUUACGUUUGUGCGAGAUAAUUAUGAUGCUAUUGUUGCAGGCAUUGAGCCAGAACCCGCUGCUAGAUCAGGAUUGAAAAUUCGAGUCUUUUCCAUAAUCAGGAUUGGUCUUGGUGAGCAGUAAAUUCAUCUUCUUGAUUGUGCCAAGACUUCCAGCGAGAAUUGGACUGCUUUAUCCCAAAGUCUUGGAGCACAGACAGAGGAGCAUUGUGACCCUGAAAGAGGAUUUCUUUUCUAUGGAGAUGGAUCCUCAUGAACGCAUUGAGAAAUUUAUUAGCAAUAUAAAUUAUAUUGAGGUUCACCUUAGAGCAGCAAAGCAAACCGUCACAAAUGUGGACAAAUGAGCAGCAUUAUUGAAUGGUAUUCUAGAUAUCGAGCAUUCCCAACAGAUCUGCACGUCUUUACAGAGUAUGCAAAUGAAGCUUACCUUUCUUCAAAUAUGUGUUGCACUCAAGGAGGAACAAUGGCAGCAUAAUUUACGUAUGACAUCAAGAAAGGCAGCCAAGGCAACAGUCUUUAUAACUCAAGAGGCCCAUCCUUCUGGUUCUACCACUUCAAUUCCUGCUGCAAGUCAGAGUGGAAGCAAUCCCAGUGGGAGCAACUCCAAUAAACAGAAGAGGUGGCCUAUUCGUUGUAACUAUUGUAAAAAGCCUGGCCAUUAUGCAAAGGAGUGUCUGGUAGUUUUUGGUAGUCUGGCUUAUACCAAAAAUCUGGAUCGAGCUUGCCUCUAGGACUAUCAAAGCAAUUUUCGUUGGUUAUAGAGAUGACACUAAAGCUUAUUGACUUUAGAAUUCUUUAUCUCUAGGGAUGUUCGUGUGUUUGAAGACAUAUUUCCUUUCAAGCAGCUUGAACUGCCAACCCUUGCAAAAUGGCAGCUGGUUGAUGACUGGCCAGUAGCAGAUGUUCCAGUUCUAGUGGGAGCACUCCCACCACCGCCACCUAUAAAUCUGCCUCCGUCGCCACCACCUCCUAUUCCACCUCAGGAUGAUGCUGAUCGGCCGCAAGCUCAAAGUGAUACUUCUAAUAUCUAUUCAGGUUUAAGCUUUUUAUUUUGCUAAUGCUGAAACUAUUCCUGAGCCACAGUCAGUUGAUGAAGUGUUAUCAAGUCCACAUGCCUCUUCUUCGAGAGUAGCCAUGGACUCUGAGUACAAUUCUUUAAUGCGCAACAACACUUGGAUUUUGGUUUCCAAGCCAGCAGAUUUGAGUACGAAGUGGCUCUUUCGUGUGAAGCGCAAUGCUAACAAUCAAGUUAUUCGUUUCAAAGCCCGAUUUGUUGCACGCUGCUUUACACAGAUUGCAGGGCUUGACUUCACCGACACUUACUCCCCAGUGGUUCGAAUGGCCUCUAUACGAGUCAUGUUGGCAUUGGCAGCGCAGUACAAUUGGGAAAUCCAUCAAUGGACGUGCGUAUAGCAUUUCUGCAUGGCGAUUUAGAAGAAGAGAUUUUUAUUUCCCAGCCUAACGGAUUUCCCGAAGAGCCAAACUUAUUAGCUUGGUUCACCAAGAUAUUGGUUUCUCUCGAAAUGCAGCUGAUCAAAAUGUUUAUUUCAAACACUUUGGUGACUUGCUUGUGAUCUUGGCUCUUUACGUUAAUGAUUUAAUCUUAGUCUCCAAAAAUCUGCCUUUUCUUCAUGAGAUUAAAUCAGAGAUCACAUCUCAGUUUGAGAUGGAUGAUAUAGGCGAGAUUCAGUAUUGUCUUGGCCUUCAUAUUUUGCGAGAUAGAGUUCGCGGCUAUCUUUAUCUAUCUCAUCAGCGAUACAUUGACGAGGUUCUAUAGAUGCAGGAUUGUACUCCUAUGGAGAUCGAUCUUCAUCUCUCCUCUGGUCAGUCUCCUGAAACUCCCGCUAAUCGUGAGGCUAUGCAACGUUUUCCUUAUUGAGCUGCCAUGGGCAGUCUCAUGUAUUGGUCUGCACUCGUCCAGAUCUAGCACAUGCAGUGGGCAUUGUCGCCAAGUUUUCUGAGAAUCCAGGCAUGGCACAUUGGCAAGCGAUCAAGAGAAUUUUUCGCUAUCUUCAAGGGAUUUGCUCCUUUGUCCUCAUUCUUCUGUCCUAGAUGACUUCCAGCUACGUGGAUAUUGUGAUGCCGACUGGGCUGAUGAUUUUGAGACCAGGAAGUCUACAUCUGGCUAUAUUUUCUUUUUGGGCAGCAGUGCUAUUACUUGGCAGUGAAGAGAAGAAGAGUGGAAGCUAAGAUGGACAAGGAUGACUCGAAAAAUAGUCGUAUAUAAUAUCAUAAAUAUAUAUACAUGAUCAAGAAUACCUGGAGCAGUGAAGUGACACUACUGCCACCUAAGAUCAUGUCAUAGAGAGCGUAUACCUCAACAGGUAGAGCAAGUGCCAAUCUGUCACAGCUUUAUCUUCCAAAGAGUCUGAGUAUAUUACAACUUGCUCCACCUGUAAGGAAGCAGCAUGGCUGCGCCUCUUUCUGUCAGAGCUUGGCUUUUCCCAGGAUCAGCUGACUCUACUUUACUGUGAUAAUAUCAGUGUUAUACUUUGACCAAGACAACCAAGUUUCAUGAAUAUUCAACUUCGAUAUCAUUAUGUGCAAGAACAAGUUUUACAUGGCAUGAUUGUUCUCCAGUUUUGCACUACUUAUGAGCAGCUAGCUGACUUGCUCACGAAGGUGUUAGUUCUUGAGAAGUUUAUUGCUGAUUGCAGUAAACUUCAACUCUUGGAGUUGCCAGAUAAAUAAAUCCAGACACUGGAGUUUCAUUUAUCUAGCUAAUGGAGGUAUAGCACUAUCCAGCUCAUGGAAAUAUGCAGCUUAUAUGCAGAUCCAGCUAUUGGAGACCUUGUGCACCACUCUGAGCAGUAAGUCCAGACCCAAAUUGAGUGGGAGUGUUAGUAGCUUUUGAACCAAAAAAUUUAUAACUUUAAACUGGCUGUGGUUGGAUGGCCGUCCCCCGUCAGCAGUCAGCAGGGCAACAUGGCGGACGGAAGAUGUUCCCUCCACCAAGAUUUACAAGGCUGGAGACAAGAUCAAGCUUGUCUUUCCUUUCCUCAACGUAGGACGGAAGGAUGUACACCCAGAGCCCAAGGAAGAUAGUGGCAGACAUGGCAUCUAAGGCUUUCCCAGCUUAAUGCGUGGGGAACCCGACUUGUAUCGACACAGGACAGAAACACCCUCCAUCUUCUGAGUUGUGGCGAGGAUUGGCUAUCAGAAGGCGUGGCCCGUGGAAGUGAACGCUCCUGCCUAGCAUGGAGAGCUGUUAUUGCGUUCUCCCGCAACGAGUUUGGCCUGCAAUUCACCUUCAGAAGAGGUAUGUACACCAGAAGAAGACUCAAUUUCUAUAAUGGCGUAAAUGAGUUAGUUUAAUGUUUAUACCAAAAUGAAGUAUAGCUUGACUCAUCGCAGCACGUGCUGCAUGACUUUGUCAUACAUAUACCUCCAAAAAUGCAGUAUACCCGGCAAAACGUGAUUAGGUGGAUUGAGCGUUCUGAUGAAUUAGUUUAGUGCAGAACACGAGUUCGGUGCAGGAAACGCGUUUACACCAAACGCGUUCGGUGCAGUAGCCAUGACUUUGAAAAAAAUCAGGUAUCGUUUCAUAUUCUUUACGCAUAUGCUUUUAAGGCAUGAUAAGGUUCCGUACAGUUCUCUGGUUACUCCACUUGGUAGAUUGCAGCGAGCUCAGACUUCGGAUUCUCCUUGCCAAACGCGUAUACGACUUUGCCCCAGCCGGUUGCUGGAACGGCAUCGCGUCGCAAAGGAACCAGCGCUUGUGGAAAACCACAGGUCCACUAAGUCACAAAAGCUUUGACAGCAUCGUCCCGGAGAGUUCAAAAACAUAAGCUUUAUUCGGAAUAUUGAUGGUGAAGGAAAACGACUGGCAAGCCGUUCCCCCUGCGUUUCAGGAAAUGGGCCGUGAACGUCAACAGGGAAGGACCUUUUGCAAGCACGUUCCCACCUAAGCCCAGGUAACCUGAGACGGUCCAGAUUGUGAAUUAAAUGUCCCAAGUAGAAUAUUCUUUUAAUUCCAUGCCCUUUAUAUAGUCAUGCCAUACCCAUGCAUCACCCCUGCUCAUUCCAUGUCAUACCUCGUGUCCAUGCAUCCAAGUUUAAUGCAUUGCUACUUCACGUAUCUAAGAUGUUUGGAGGACCAAAAUGAAACCCUUUUUCAUUCACCAAACUUUGGAUAAAGAGCAUGAAAAUGCCAAGAACAUUUUAUCCACUUGACCUAAAGCAUAAAUCUCUAUAACAACACUUUCUGAGUCACAACUACUCCACUUUUCACCAUAAACAAUAAAUGCUGCUAUUGUUUUUACUUCCCUAGGAUACAUAAAAAACCUCCAACAUUUAUGUUCUUCUAGUAGUGUUAUGUGCCUUAUCACAUCUCGACCCACCUAUUGCAAGUGCUCAAUGUAAUUUGUAUUGCACCUCCUAUAUAACUCUGUGAUAUAUUGUUGUUUUACUAACCUAGAAGUAGAAUUUAAUAUCAAUACUGAAGACAUUAAGUAACAUAAACAAAUUUAAUGUCAUUUGCGAGUACAUACUUGUGAAUUAGAAAUAAAGCUUUAUUUUGUAGUGAAUCAAGAAUAUGACCAAAGUGCUUUGCUAAAAUCUAAAUUUAUAUUCUUUUAACCUCAUCAUAACAUUUGAGAAUGUUUUUUUCUUCGUCAUAAGAGUAAAAAUGUUCAAUGACAAUAUAUUUAAAACAACAUUCAAUAUAUAAUACACUUAUGUUCCUUUUCCACUUAGACAAUGUUGGAUAGUGUUUUGAAAUAUGCUGUCUUCUGUAAACAUAAGUGUUAUAUAACAUUUAAUCUUUCCAAUAGAUCUUUCUAUUUGUGGAUGUCAAAGUAACACAAUAUUUGUCACAUAUUGCUAUUAGUGAUGUUGCCACAUCACGUGAAACUCCUCUAUCCACCAUUUUCUUCCUGGAUUAUUAAAAAAUACAUUAAUAUCAAGAUCUAUAAACAAAUAAAGAGGUGUUUUUUUGUUUUGCCAUAACAUUAACAAUGCAAGUAUCUAUGAAGAGAAUUUAAAUUUUCCCAUCUUGAGUAGUCAUAAUGCAAAAGCUUAGAAUAGAGGGUCCUGACCUAUUGACAUUAUGUUAAAACAUAAGAUGACAUUCAGUACAUAUGAUAGAAAUAUUAAGUUUCAUAUUGAUCUUGUUUGUAUCAUAUAGAUUCAUAUCUAGCAAUACUUUUUUGAUUUUGUGUAAGAAUCCCAAGAGAUUUUGCUAUAAGAUCUAGAUUAAAAUCAAUCUAAAAAGAAAAAAGGAAACAAAGCUAUCUAAAUUUUUAUGUUACUAGUAUUUUCAAUACUAACACUUCUUGAUCAACACUUGGGGUUGGCUCAACACUUUAGUCUUGUUUGGCCGAAAAUUUUCAAUCUCACUUUUAAUUUGAUUGUUAAUUUAAAAAUAAAAUUUAUUGAGAAGAAAAAUAUUUUACAAGGGCAACAAACUUGCAUAAGUGGAAGAUCCAACUUUUCCCAUACUAGAUGCUUCUUUUUGCAAUUCAACAAUCAAGAUUUUUCUAUGGCAUAAACAAUUAAACACAAUCAACAUUUUCAUAGUUGUUUAUGUGCGUUUUUUGGGUAUGCACUAAGCUAAACAAUCUUAACCAUACCAAAAAGAAGUAUAUUAAAACCUAAAGACAAGAGAUUCAAUGUUUAUUUUUUCUUGGAUUGAUAUCCUUUGAAGGAAAAUUAACUUAUUAGUGAUCAUAGUGUAGGAGAUUUAAAUUGUCACCAUCAUAACCAUUCCAUAUUGUAGAAUUCAGUUCUUGCAAAACCCUACCCUAAUGAGCUUACAAGAUACAUUAAAUUUUUAGAGACAUUUAGUGUUUAGCCAAUGUCCUAAAAUUUCAAAUCAAAGCGGGAAAAUAAAUAUGCCCAUGACAUGGUCAUCGACCCAUAAUCUACCUAGUAGACAUUAAAUUUAACAUAAUGUCUACUACAAUAUUUAGUUCAGAUCUGGAUAGUCUGCAAGAUCAUGUUACAUGGGCUAAUGAGACAUUCCUUUGCUAGAGUAGCAAAAGCUUGUUUGGGCUUGUCCAAUUGGGAUGGAACUAAGCAUGAAAUGCUUCUAGUGUAGGGAGGUGUUGCACAUAUCUGGUUUCCCGAUCCCAGCAGAGUAUGAAGGGACAAUGUUGCUGCAGUAGUGCUUGGUUUUUGAGGGUGACUAGCAAAUCAACGUAGCCAUGAUUAAUUGCUGAUGAAAAGCUAACAUUUUCGAUGACUGAAGACCAUGUUGACUAAAUAUUGACUUUUACGGUCAAACUAUUUGCUCAGACUCAGGCUUUUGAAUUGUACACUUCAAGAAGAAUUCCAACAGAAAAACGAUCAGCUUUGCAAGAUGGCACGGCCCAAGUCGGAUGCCAGCGCCAAUCUCACGCGAUCCACAGCGCCAGGCUCUGCGGUGCUUAGGAUGUCGUUCUCUAGCCGGUCCCUGGCGAGGAAGAGUUCCUGGCAGCAGAGUAGAGUGUUUGUUUCGGACUCGCUAACCAGCACUUGCUCCGGCCAUUCCAGCAGCUCCACCUGAUCGAUCGGAAGUUUAGAGUGUAAACGAGAUGCGAGAAACAGCUCCAUACCGAUGCUGCCUUGAAGUUCUUGUACCUGCGUCAAGUUAGACGUUAGCUCCGGAUAGUUUCGCAACUGUAUAAAGUGAGUACCUUGCUAAGAACGACAGGCCUUGAUGCUUCGUUGCUCCCGAGCCAAGGAUGUCACAGAGACCCUCAAAAUGCUGGCAUGGGAAAAGAGCGUUAAAAGUGUGCGUGUAUCAAAUAAAACGUAAGACUGCUACCUCGAGAUUAUCCAGAUUAUCAGCUUCACCAGACGUUAUUGUGUCCAAAAUCUGAUCCGCAAGAGUAGAAAGCCUCUGCUCGUCUCGGGCCAAUCGAAGCCACAUUAUCCCUUGGCCCUUCUUUCCAUGCUUUAAACUAUGAACACCAACAGCCUGGAAGACAUAAAACACAGGUGAGAACCCCAAGCCUGGAAAGGAAGAGGAUACUAAACCCUGGCGAUGGCUGUGCUCACGGUAUCAAGUUCAUAGAGGCGGCAUAUCUCUAGUGCCUGUUGAACAAAAUUCACAUUGAGAUUUAAGAAAACGUCACACCAAGACCAACCGUCAAUGCCAGUUUCUGAUUGGAACAUCUCUGCUUCAUUAGGAGAGCUUCAAGCAUUCCCAGGCCUUGCUUUGGGCAAGCCGCGAGGUAAACAGGUGCUAGCUGAGACAAUUGUUAGACAGACAUCAAGAAGGAGGACAGUACUUGAGAAUAAACCAAACGAUGGAGUUAUUUCAAGCUCAAGCCGCCUAGAGUUUGCCUGCCUUCUUCAAGAAGAGAUCGAACGUCCUCCCCUUUUGCUAUCAGGAGAUCAUCAAUGCGCCAUCAUCCUGAUAGAAAAUUUAUAUAAAUAUUCGACAUGAGAAGUUCUUACCACUGUGAGGGGGAAGAGCAUUUACCUAGGUGUCGUUGCUGAUAAUUGCAGAUAAAAGUUCUUGAAGGUCUUCGUCCCCAGAACUUUUCAAUCCUUUGCACUUGGAAGCUAUGCUACGCAUUCCAUCUAAGACCUGCACCCGAUAAUUGCAAGUGAACUUAGCACACUACACAGUUCAUACAUACCAAAGAACAAGGUAUCAGAUGUAGGAAAUGCGCCACCAGCAGCUCCAUCCAGUGAAACGUAGAGCGCUGUAGAACAUCAACGUUUCCCAAUAGCACCUGUAUUAGCUUCUGAAGACCAAGAAGCAUCCCACGGUGGUUGCAUUCCGCCCAAAACACACUAUUUUCAAGCUUGGAAACCUGACUUCGCCAAUUUUUCCCUUGCCUGCAUGUAAUAAAAUCUGAGAAACUAAAAACUUUGCUGCAACCACAUCAAACCUUAGAAAAGUCAGGCUUAAAACCUAUAGCAACACCAGGACUUCCAUCAGGGAGCCUCGGGCGCAGCUGCGGCAUUUGCAUAAUGAGCAGUGUCACUGCUUCUACGAGGCCAUUUUCAGUCUGCCAAGACAUAAAAAAAGCAUCCGGAAGUUAACGCAAAUCAACAAAACAGCAUGGAGAAAGAAACCUGCCGGUGAUCGCAUUAAACACAAUAAUAGGAUCAAUACUCUUCACGGUAAUGUCGUUUUAUGUUUUGUUUUCUUCCUGCAGAUGUUUGGAGGUGUUGGAAUGGCAACAUUACCACUGAGCCUCAUAUUUGCGUUCAAGAAUAGGCCCAAGUGUGUUAUUACUCGUGCUCAAUACGUAAAGGUGUGUGCUUCAAUUCUUUUUACGUUUCUUGCAACUAAUCUCUUCAAGGUGAUGGCUUGGCAGGAGGUGACUGCCAAGCGCUCCAACGAGCUUGGGUCUCCAACGCGAAGAAAGAGGUGGGAAGAAAGGACGAAAGUUUCGGAAAAAUGUGAAGAAAGUCCAGCAGGUCAGCUCCGCUGGGCACAGAGGAAAAAAAAAAAAAAAAAAAAACAACAAUGGUGGACGUGAUCGUGUUGACAAAUGCAUAUGUGUAGCUCGAUUCAGGAGCUUGUCUUUUUGGAAGAUGAUGUUCAAGCUCUGAAUGAGGCAUUCCCACAGGGAGAGAAGGUAUCUCUAGUUUCCCAUUUAAGUUAUUUCAUUGCUGGAUUUUCUCUCAGGCAGACACAUCCUGGGCUGUUACAGUUCUUUUCUACUUAGCCAAGCUUGUUUUUGGCAUUCUCGGGUAAGAAAUAGACUCCGAAGGCUUGACAAAGAUAUUCACUUUUUCUUUUCUUUUUCUUGUUGCAGCUUGGCUUUGUCUAUAAUUUGGCUUCUCCACAUCAUUGUUUUCAUGCUAGUCAAUCCUCCAGCUUUUCCGUUUCUGAACCAAGUCUUUAUUCAGCUCGACAGUGCUUGGGGUACUUGCUGUAGAUGCGAUUUCUAAAUCUGAUUUGGUUCCUUCCUUUCAGGCUUGCUAGGAACCACAGCGUUUGCAAUCUUUUGCUACUACCUCAUCAUGUCUGUCAUAUCUGGAGAGAUGCAUUCCAUUCAUCCAAUGAAGUAAGCACAUUUUUUAUAAAAAAAAAAAGUUUUUUCUAUGAAACUAUAGGUACCAAGGCACGCUCAUGAACUCGUUUCUUUUCAACGUGGCCAUUAUCCUUCUAUGUUCAACAAGGUGAUCCAGCGAUCCAAUGUGGCUCCACGCGCAGAGCAUGCACGAGAAUGUGAUCGCAUCGGGCGCGCACAUGGUUCCAGCAGCUGGAGCGCCGAUCGGCCGUGCCCAGUGCGGCAUAGCAUCGAAGACCGAUCGCGCGAGAUCGACCUCGCUGGAGGAGACGCUGGGGUGGAGGAAAUUGUUCCAGCUCGAGACGUCCCUCUCGGCGUCGCGGAAGAACUCCUGGGCUUCGCAAAUUUGCCCGCAUUGGGCAAUUGCUGCGAUCAUCGCGUUCGCCGAGUCGACGCUCCGGGCAGGCAUCCGCGCGAAGACCUCCCGCGCCUCCCCGAUUCGGAGGCGCUGUGCGGCGAUGGUGAGCAUCGAGUUCCAGGUGAUGACGUCGCGGCGGGGGGAUUCCACGAACAGGGAUCGCGCGUCGAGGAAGCAGCCGUUCUGGGCAAGCGCGGCGAUGAUGAUAUUGAUGGUGAAGAGGUUGCGGACGCGGAGCUCGCGGAAGGCGGCCAUGGCGCUGGCAAUGGAGCGGCAGGCGCCAUACAUCUGGAUGAGGAGAUUGGCGACGAAGAGAUCGGUGCGCCAGCCAGAGCGGACGAUCUGCGCGUGCAAUCGCCGGCCGCCCUCCAGAUCCCUGCCCGCGAUGCAUCGCUGCAGCAGCACGACGUAGCCCGACGCCCCGGGAUCGCUCAUCCUCCUCGUCCCCGUGCAUUUCCAAGGAGGAAGAACAAAUCUGGAUAGGCAUAAUCUAAACUCUAAAGUAACUUUAAACUCAGCUAGCCCUAAACUCUAAAGUAACUUUAAAAUUAGGGCUCUUGGAAGAAUAUAAAUAAGCAUAAUCCACGUCCGCCCUAAUUCUUGUAUGGCAAGAGAAGCCUUUAGCAGUGGAAAGAGCAGUCCUUGCUCUUUGGUGACUUCUGCAGACUGGAGCUGAUGGAGGUCGGAUUAAAUCGUGUAGCGCCAGUCGGCCUCCAGGCUUGUCGCGAUCCAGCCUUUAAAUCGAAACGCUGGCACUUCUUCAUUCUUGCAGACGCUCUCCAGAUCGAUCAGCACGUACUUCUCUUUUGAGUAGUCAUACAUGAUCUUGUGCACCAAGCCUGGAAGUUUACAAACAAGGAUGAGACAGACACUAGAAGAAAAGAAAAUUAAGAAUGCUUACCAGCUUCGUGCAAAGCUUUCAAUCCUCGCAAAACUCCCUACACCAUGUCGCACAUGUCCUCCUCGUUGUCGGGGUAUUUCUUCGCAUAGACCAGUAGAGUUUCCACCUUGUAAACCGCCUUCAUCGCCUUGAUCACUUCCGUGCUCUUGGUGAUCAUCGCCAAUCUCGCUCUCUUUCUCCUCCUGCCGCCACUGCCGCUGCUACUGUCUGAUGAAGAAGAUCGUUCUGAUGAUUCCGAGAUAUCAGAACCUACGUGUGCUUCGGGAUGGCAGUGAGAGUCACCUCGCACAUGAGUUCUACCUCCUUGGACUCAAGUGUAAGCCCGAACACGCUACUGAUCAUAUGUCCGCCACCUUCUAUGGCAGCAAUGUAAGCGGCCUCGAGACCGGAAAGACAGACCUCGUGCUCGGAAGAAUACGCUUCGAAGUGCACGAUUCUCUUCACAGCGCCCUUGAGCGUGAGCUUGAUUUCCCAGUGACCAUGGAGAACAAACGUAUCAAGCGGAGGAUCUAGUCAGUACGGAAUCGGUGCGAGCUUGUUCAUCACUCACGGCCACGCUCGCAUCCAUUCAUAGCAACAAGAAGUAGAGCUUGAGCGGUACGUGCUUAGUCACAUCCAGCACGUCAGUCACUGGCGCGAGGACUCCCUGCGCCAAAAGAACGUUAGAAAACAGAGAUUUCUCAGUGUAUCAACGCUUCUUGCUUGCAGCAUGAAAAACUGGACGAACUGGCCUGCAGCUGCGUAGCAUAUCACAAUCUUGAGCUUCCGAUUCAUUGCCGGAGGGAGUUCCAUGAUCUUCGCAGCGAGCUCGGCCUUCGCCUUCUCAAAAUUGUUGGGAUUCUUCCUCUCCUCGCCAAACGCGCUUUGUCCCCGGCCCAUGAUGAUAUUGCGCGGCCGAUUCGACUUGCUGAAGAAAUUCCAUCAUGGAAGUUCCAUGAUGACUCCUUCGCAAUCUUCCCGGUAGCGCUCUUCGAUAAGCAUCUGGGACACACAAUCUCUCAGCAGGUCCCAGAUUCGCUGGAACUGCGUCGGAGUACUCCUCCCCGGCCACCAAGGAACCAAGCAAGUGGAAAACCGCCCAGCCUCAUUCGUGACAUCGAAGAACUCAUCCAUGGAGGAAGGAGGGGGAACACGACGUCGAGACGUCGAAGUCGGAUAGAAAAGCUUUCACGUCGUCGUCGGGCCCAGACGAUAUACAGCGAGCAGGCUUUCAGGAUCUCCUCGGUGCCUGGAAGAGAUAUCAAUGCUCAUUCUGAUCAAGAAGAAAUCACGAGGGGCUGCUGGCUGCUGGUUGGAUGGCCGUCCCCGUUAGCAGGGCAACAAGGCGGGAGGGCUUGUACGGAAGAUGUUCCCUCCACCAUACAAGGCUGGAGACAAGAUCAAGCUUGUCUGUCCUUUCCUCAACGUAGGGCGGAAGGAUGUACACCCAGAGCCCAGGGACGAUGGUGGCAGACAUGGCAGCGAAGGCUUUCCCAGCUUAAUGCGUACUUGUAUCGAUGCAGGACAGAAACACCCUCCAUCUUCUACUCGACUGCAAUAUGAGUUGUGGCGAGGCUUGGCUAGGAUUGAUCUUCAGAAGGCAGUGGAAGUGAACGCUCCUGCCUAGCCUGGAGAGCUGUUAUUGCGUUCUCCCGCAACGAGUUUGGCACCAGCCUUAAGAUUGGGAGGUAUUUGACAGGCAAGGAGGGAGCGAGCACCAAGUACGACGGGACCUGCUGCGAGAGGAAGAAAAUCAAAGUAGCCGUACAUGUGUAUUGUGUGACUAAUAUUGACUUUUAAGAAGGUCAUGGGCAAACUAUUGGCUUAAUGUUUAAACUUUAGACUGGUCGUAAAUAUGAGCAAGGAUAAUUCAACCAUGUCAGAACGCAGGACGUAUUCAUUCAGAACUCAUGCUUGAGUUAGACAAACCUAUGCUCUCAGCUGGACAAGAAACUAAGAAAAGAAAAAAGUGAAGUUGAUGUUUUGGAAAGAUUCGCGCAUUUGGCUUAUUAGAUUUCAAUAAUUUAAAAUUUUACAACUGUAUUAACGUCUGGAUCGUCAUGUCCCGGAGUAGAUUUCUAGGAUCCUAAAAAAUUGACCCUAUAGCAGGAGAUGUCACGCCUACUGAUCAGUACGUAAGCAUUUGCCAAAGAAAACUUACAAUGUGCUCGCCACAAAGUUCGUGAGUUACAGGAGGAGGAAACGCUCGACGGUUUUGAGGGCCUCCCUUUGCCUUGUUCCAUCAGCACUAGCUCCAAGCCGUUUACAACAAAAACGCCCAGUAACAUUCUUUAAAGUUCUAUUCUCGAAGUUCUGUUCCUUUUCAAAGUAAAUUUAGAUAUUACCUUGUCUGAGAGACCUUGUUGCUCUACAAUAUUAUUGCGACAGUGUUCCUGUGGUCGUUUGCAUCAAAGCGACAGGAUCGGAAAAUCCAGCACCAGAUGGAGAGCCAAAUGGCACUCGGCUUAGAGCUGAUUGAGCGUGUCCCUGGCUAACUUGUGGUAACCUUGAGCGCGAAGAACCUACAGAGACCAACGAGACAAUGAUCUACACAUGGCAAACUGUCCUGUUUCGUUUUAUUAAUAUAUCACAAAGAAUACUUGAUGGGCACCACAAGACUAUAAACAGUAUAUAGAUAGAUAGAUAAACUUAUCAUCACCUUUCAAUGUUCCAGUGGAAGGCAAAACAUUGCUACAUUGACAAAAGUACUUGGAAUCCAAAGCAUCUAGCUUUUAGAUAUUUAUUACUUUAUUGUAGUUUGUCGUUCCAGGCUGAUUGUCUCUUUUCAGAAAUUGAGAUUAACACAUGUAAACACAAUAGAUCAUUAUUAUCUAGGAAGAUGUUUUAGCUUGAAGAAAAGGGCAUCUUGGCUCGAUUGACACAGCCUGGAUAUUAGAAACAAAAGAUGUUAUCUGCAGCCUCCACAGCCUUCUUUUUGGCAUCUGGGUUCAUCUUGUCAAUGACCUCCUUGCAUGGCUUAAACUUACGGAAUGUGAACUCUGCAAAUAGAACAAAAUGACCGUGCAAUUUUCAGUGGUUUACAUUAGACACCUCACCUCCAGUGAUGCCAUUGGAAUCCUCCUGAUGGUACAGAAUACGGUUGCUAUCGGACCAAGCAAAGAGUUUGAUGCGGUACACCUGUACUGAAAAACAUGAGCUGUGACUGAAAUACAAAGGGCAGCCUGGGCAAGGCUGAAGAAAUACAAACCUUGAAGUACGGGUUUUGCAUAUCAGGGUACAUUAAGACCCUGAUGUCAAUUAUGGUCUUCUCGUGGUGCUCAUUCUUGGCUAAGAAGGUUUUAAAGCUGUUAAUGGUCGCCCCUGACUGAGCAACAAUGCGCCCAAGAACUUCAAUGUCGAUCUUGGUUGAUUUCAGGACGUCCUCAUCUGCAAUGAGAUUCACAAACCAGGUCUGAACCUGUGACGAGAGAAGGCCGCAACGGUUAAUAGAGCUCUUAUAUAAUACAUAACUUCUAUUACCGCUUUCACAAUAGCUGCAUCCGGUGACCCGUCAAACUUGAAAUCGUCAGAGCUUUUGUUGAUAAACUUGUCAGCUCUGCUAAUCCCAUCGCCCAUUGGCUCAACCAGGGGAUUUUGCAUGAACAUGGAGUUGACCUUCUCCCAAGUUCGCUCUUUCGGUGGCACUUUGGCAAGAAGGGUUGUGGUUCCCGAGAUGCAAACUUUGAGAACCUCAUCCAUCUUCUUCACUGUUUCUGCAUUCAAUCCCCCAAACGAUGGUGUCAGGUUGGUUUGGAGGUAGUCCUCAGCACUCUUGGAACGCACAUCAAUCUGGAGCAUUCCACAAGGAGUUAAGCACUGCUUUGGGCAAUACAGGUUCCACUUUACCUUGCUGAAAUCAAAAUUCGCCACAAUGUCACCAAUCUCCUUCAAUGAACCGAAGGCUCCCAGCAUUGUCGCCAUGGUUGCCAUUGCAAUUCACCUUCAGAAGAAGUAUGUACACCAGAAGAGGUAUGUACACUCAAUUUUUAUAAUGGGGUAAAUGAGUUAGUUUAGUGCAGAAAAGAUGUUUAUACCAAAAUGAAGUAUAGCUUGACUCAUUGCAGCACGUGCUGCAUGACUUUGUCAUACAUAUACCUCCAAAAACAUGCAGGUAUACCCGGUUAAAAAACAAAAGGUGAUUUGGAUUGAGCGUUUUUUCGCAAUGGAUCGCGAUCGCGAGCGUGAGCGAUGCGAUCCUAUUAACACACCUCCUUCUUAAAUGCUACCUAGGAAAAGAGUACGACUUGUUUAGUGCAGAAAAAGAGUUCGGUGCAGGAAACGCAUCUACACCAAACGCGUUUGGUGCAAAACGCCAAGCCUCCUUCGUUGCAGUAGUCUAGCUUGACCCAACGCCAAAAAUCAGGUAUUGUUUCAUAUUCUUUAUGCAUAUGCUUUUAGGGCAUGAUAAACUGCAGCAUUUAACUUGUUUGGAUUCUUCCUCUCCUCGCCAAAUGCGUAGACGGCUUUGCCCCAGCCGGUCGCUGGAACCACAUCGCGUCGCAAAGGAACCAGCGCUUGUGGAAAACCACAGGUCCACUAAGUCAAGUUUCACAGCAUCGUCUCGGAGAGUGGUGAAAUGAAAUGGGCCGUGAUGAAAUCACACACUCGUUUCAUGCGCUGGUCUGGGGCCUUUUGCAAGAGUAGCAAAAGCUUGAUUGGGCAUGUCUGAGAUUGGGAGCCCGACUUAUAUCCAUCCAAGGCAGGCGUGAGAUGCUUCGGGUGCCUGAGACUAGGGAGGCGUUGCGGGCAUCUGCAGAGUACGAAGGGACGACGCUGGUGUAGCAGUGCUUGGUUCUGAGGGUGCCUAACAAAUCAACGUAGCCGUACAUGUAUAGAUUAAUUGCUGAGUUCAAGUAUGAAAAUCAAUGAAAAGCUAACAUUUUCAAUGACAGAAGACUAUGUUGACUAAAUAUUGACUUUUAGCGAAGUUCUACGGUCAAACUAUUAGACUCACGCUUCUGAAUUGUACAGUUCAAGAAGAAAUCCUACCUUUGUCUGACAACGAAGAAACGAUCAGCUUUGCAAGAUGGCACGGCCCAAGGUGGAUGCCAGUGCCAAUCUCAGGCGAUCCACAGCGCCAGGCUCUGCGGUGCUUAGGAUGUCGUUCUCUAGCCGGUUUAGACAUCAAGAAGAAAGAAAUCAAAGACAUACCUGCCAGGUUAAGCUGUGUGAAGACAGUACUUGAGAAUAAACCAAACGAUGGAGUUCUGUCAAGGUCUUCUUCAAGAAGAGAUCGAACGUCCUCCCCUUUUGCUAUCAGGAGAUCAUCAACAUGCGCCAUCAUCCUGAUAGAAAAUUUAUAUAAAUAUUCGACAUGAGAAGUUCUUACCACUGUGACGGGGAAGAGCAUUUACCUCGGUGUCGUUGCUGAUAAUUGCAGAUAAAAGUUCUUGAAGGUCUUCAUCCCCAGAACUUUUCAAUCCUUUGCACUUGGAAGCUAUGCUACGCAUUCCAUCUAAGACCUGCACCCGAUAAUUGCAAGUGAACUUAGCACACUACACAGUUCAUACAUACCAAAGAAAAAGGUAUCAGAUGUAGGAAAUGCGCCACCAGCAGCUCCAUCCAGUGAAACGUAGAGAGCUGUAGAACAUCAACGUUUCCCAAUAGCACCUGUAUUAGCUUCUUAAGACCAAGAAGCGUCCCACGGUGGUUGCAUUCCGCCCAAAACACACUAUUUUCAAGCUUGGAAACCUGACUUCGCCAAUUUUUCCCUCGGCCUGCAUGUAAUCAAAUCUGAGAAACUUGCUGCAACCAAAUCAAACCUUAGAAAAGUCAGGCUUAAAACCUAUAGCAACACCAGGACUUCCAUCAGGGAGCCUCGGGCGCAGCCGCGGCAUUUGCAUAAUGAGCAGUGUAACUGCUUCUACGAGGCCAUUUUCAGUCUGCCAAGACAUAAAAAAGCAUCCGGAAGUUAACGCAAGUCAACAGAACAGCAUGGAGAAAGAAACCUGCCGGUCAUCAAGCUGAUCCAAUCGAUACGAUCCAUGCAUCCGCAAGAACGCUAUCUGGAAGAUUAAGAUUACCAAUGGAACUUACACGGACACUUUUACAACUUCCAACAACGUCAAGCCAUCCGACUGACAACGCCGAAGCCAUUGCAUCCCAGAAAGCUACAUCGUCUUCGGGAAACUGCAAGUGCACGUUAAAAAAUGAUACACAAAGAGAAAACAAAAAGCUGCAAGACUUCGAACUUACUUGAAUCUCGGAAAGCUUCCGCUGGAACGACACCACCUUGGAAUGUACAGUGUCUUCAUCACUGAAGAGGACUUCGUCAUGCUCCUGCAAAGCUCACAGGCAAAUCAAUCAUAAGUCAAGAAAAAACUCACUGCUUCUUACCGCUAGCCAGUCUACAAGACACUCCGGAAGCCACCAUGUCGCGCUUCUGUCCACAUAGAAAACUUCUAUGAGCUCCCACACAGCCUUAAGCAUCGAGGUCUUCUCCUCCUGCAAGAAAAAAACAAAAAAAAUCUUUCACAUCAUUCGCUCACGCAUGAUACAAUGGCUAACCUUGCCUUGCGUGGGCUGGUCGAGAACGCUGUGAAUGCUCUUGCUAUACUCUAAUACAUGCUCCCACCUGCGAUCACACCUAGCGUUUCUAGAGUAAAAAGAGAAGAAUUUUUCAUACCAUGGGUUGUAGCCCAAUUGCCGGUGGUUCUGGAGAAGAGCAAAAGCCGGGAGAGAAUCAUGCCGCCUCUCGGCAUCCCAUCCUUCUCCCAGAUGAAUCUCCGUGACUCUUCCACCGCCUCCCACAGCAUUCUCGAUGUAGGAGAGCUGGAGCUGGUUCCCAUUGCUCCACGACACCCACGCUAUAGAUUACCGCGGCCGAGGAGCUGAGGAUCCAUCGCCACCGGCAUUACGCUCCCCGUUCUCCAGCUCCUCGAGACGCCGGAUCCCCGGCAUCACGCGCUCCAGAAUCAGGCCUAUCUUCCCAAGAUCAUCGUCGUGAUUGGGCUCAGCAUUGCCCAACUCUCGAUCCUGAUGCUCCCGGCGGACGUCGCGAAUCGCCAUUCCUGCGAGAAGAAUCUCUACGUCGGGGCGUGUAAGCUCACUCUCCCGAUGAAGCAGCUGUGGUGGGCGGUUUACAUCAUCGACACUGUGCUCGUCAUUCCUUUCGCGAUCUUCUUCUACGAGAGCGACCAGGAGAAGUAAUCUUCCAUCUUUUUGUUCUUGUUCUUAGAACACUCGAUCGACCGAGCUCCUCCUAGAGUUUCUUAAGUUCUUUCUAUUCCUCCAUGAUCUCAAAAGCUUUCUUUGUUCGUGGUGAUUUCCAGGACUGUGACACAAAGGGUAAAGAACGCUCUCUUGUGGGUGGUGAUACUCCUCACAGUCCUCUGCCUCCUCUUGGGAAUUCUCUAUGGUAAGAAGCUGUUUUCCAUCUUUUGUUCUUAAACCCUUUUUCUACGUGAUUGCUUGAAGCUGUUAUCGGCUAUGCUGAUUUCACCGUGAGACGUCUUUCAUCCACGACGUUGGCGUUCACCAAUGAUUUUAGCUCGCUCAAUGCAAAGGUUCCGUGCUUGUUUUCGGCUAGUUUCUCAUUGUCUUCUAAUGUUACUCUCAUGGUAAGCCUUUUCUUCUACAUUUUCCCUUUCUUCAUUCAUGUGGCAAUAUUGUGUGACAGUGUGCAGCUUAUACGUCUGGAUCUCUGGUUAAAACUACGUGGUCUGUGCGUGCGCCCUUCCCGACUUACGUGAUCGCAUUAAACACAAUAAUAGGAUCAAUACUCUUCACAGUAAUGUCGUUUUAUGUGUUGUUUUCUAGAAGAUCUGAUUUCCUUCCUGCAGAUGUUUGGAGGUGUUGGAAUGGCAACAUUACCAGUGAGCCUCAUAUUUGCGUUCAAGAAUAGGCCCAAGUGUGUUAUUACUCGUGCUCAAUACGUAAAGGUGUGUGUGUGAUUUGUUCUCGUUUCUUGCAACUAAUAUCUUCAAGGUGAUGGCUUUACAGGAGGCGACUGAUCUAGCCAAGCGCUCUAACGAGCUAAAAACGGCGACUUUGGGCCUCCAACGCGAAGAGAGAGGUGAGAAGAAAGGACGGAUGUUUCGAAAAAAUGUGAAGAAAGUCCAGUGUAGCUCGAUUCAGGAGCUUUUCUUUUUGGAAGAUGAUGUUGAAGCUUUGAACGAGGCAUUCCCACAGGGACAGAAGGUACCGUUCUAGUUUACCAUUAAGUUUUUGUGCUGAUUCUACUGCUGGUUUUCUCUCAGGCAGACACGUCCUGGGCUCUUCUAGCUAGCCAAGCUUGUUUUUGGCAUUGUCGGGUAAGAAAGUCCUUCAAGUCUUAAGAAAAAGAUUCAGUCUUAUUAUUUCUCUUGUUGCAGUUUGGCUUUGUCUAUAAUUUGGCUUCUCCACAUCAUUGUUUUCAUGCUUGUCAAUCCUCCAGCUUUUCCGUUUCUGAAUCAAGUCUUUAUUCAGCUUGACAGUGCCGGGGGUACUUUCUGUCAAUGCGAUCUCUAGACCUGAAUAGUUUCCUUCCUUUCAGGCUUGCUAGGAACCACUGCGUUUGCAAUCUUUUGCUACUAUCUCGUCAUGUCUGGCAUAUCUGGAGAGAUGCAUCUGGGAAUGAGGCUUUUGUUUCUUUCCAUUCAUCCAAUGAAGUAAGCACUUUUUUUUAUAUGCAUUUUCUAGAAUGUAAUGGUUUUUAUUAUGAAACUAUAGGUACCAAGGCACGCUCAUGAACUCGAUCCAAUGUGGCACGAGAAUGUGAUCGCGUCGGGCGCGCAACCGUCGAGCGCCAUGGAUUCCAGCAGCUGGAGCGCCGAUCGGCCGUGCCGGCCUUGGCCGUGGCCGUGAUGGCGAUAUUCCAAGAAACCGUGCUCUGUCGAUCAUCCCCUGGAAGAUCUCGCACGCGUCGUCCAGCCGCCCCGAUCGGCUGAAGAGAUGGACGAGGGAAUUCCCCACCGCGCCCUCGUGGUAGAGGCGCUGUGGCGGAUAUCGGGUAGGAUGUGGUGCGCCAGCGAUGGAUCUUGGAUCGCCGUGGCCGCGAAAAGCACGCUCAUGAUCGUCUCAAGAUCCAUGAUCCGGAAGAGCUGGAUCGCGUCGGCGCCGGCGCCGUGCUGCGCGUAAGGCCGUGAUCAUCGUCGUCCACGACACGAUGUUUGGCUCCGGCAUGGCGUCGAGGAUCGAUCGCGCCUCGCGGAGCUGCCGCGUGCAUCACCGCCGCCCAGGUCACCACGUUCUUGUCCAGGGUUUGAUCGAAGAGCUCCCUCGCGCGAUCCACCAGUCCCGCCUGUGCGUAGGCCGAGAUGAUCGUGUUCCAGGACGAGAGAUUCCUCGGCGCCGUCAUCGAAUUGAAUGCCUGCCGCGCCUCCUCGAUUCGGCCAUUCUCGGCGAGCGCCUGGAUCAUCACGUUCCAGGCAACGGUGUUCCAGUGCUUCAUCCGCGAGAAGAGCUCCCUCGCCUGGUUGAUCUUCCCCACGGAUCCAUAGCCCGUGAUCAUGGACGUGAUGGACAUGAGAUCCGGAUGAUCCAGCGCGAGGAAUAGCUCCUCGGCGUUGCGCAUCAGCGCUCGGCGUAGCCCUGGAUCAUGCUCAACCACACGACACAAUCCCAGUGCGGCAUAGCAUCGAAGACCGACCGCGCGAGAUCGACCUCGCUGGAGGAGACGCUGGCGUGGAGGAGAUUUUUCCAGCUCGAGACGUCCCUCUCGGCUAUGGCGUCGCGGAAGAACUCCUGGGCUUCGCCAAUUUGCCCGCAUUGGGCAAAUGCUGCGAUCAUCGCGUUUGCAGAGACGACGCUCCGGGCAGGCAUCCGCGCGAAGACCUCCCGCGCCUCGCCGAUCCGGAGGCGGUGCGCGGCGAUAGUGAGCAUCGAGUUCCAGGUGACGACGUCUCGGCGGGGGAAUUCCACGAACAGGGAUCGCGCGUCGCGGAAGCAGCCGUUCUGGGCAAGCGCGGCGAUGGUGAUGUUGAUGGUGAAGAGGUUGCGGACGCGGAGCUCGCGGAAGACGACCAUGCGCUGGCGAUGGAGCGGCAGGCGCCAUACAUCUGGAUGAGGAGAUUGGCGACGAAGAGAUCGGUGUGCCAGCCCGAGCGGACGAUCUGCGCGUGCAACCGCCGGCCGCCCUCUAGAUCCCUGCCCGCGAUGCAUCGCCGCAGCAGCACGACGUAGCCCGACGCCCCGGGAUCGCUCAUCCUCCUCGUCCCCGCGCCCUAAUUUUUCUUCUAUGGCAUAUUCUUAUUCCAACUAAAAGCCUUUUAACUUUUAAGAAGGUCAUGGUCAAACUAUUUGCUUAAUGUAAAUAUGAGCAAGGACAUCAGAAGGCUGGACUAUUCAUUUAGAAACUCAUGCUUGUAGACAAACCUAUGUUCUCAGCUGGACAAGAAACUAAGAAAAGACCAAAGUGACGUUGCUGUUUUGGAAAGAUUCGCGCAUUUAGCUUAUUAAUUUAAAAAAUUUACAACUGUAUUAACGUCUUGAUCGUCUUGUCCCGGAGUAGAUUUCUAGGAUCCUAAAAACUUGACCCUAUAGCAGGAGAUGUCACGCCUACUGAUCAGUAUGUAAGCAUUUGCCAAAGAAAACUUAUAAUGUGCUCGCGACAAAGUUCGUGAGUGACAGAAGGAGGUAAAGCUUGACGGUUUUGAGGGCCUGCCUUUGCCUUGUUCCAUCAGCACUGGCUGCGCUGUGCCAAGCCGUUUACAAUAAAAACGCCCAGUAGCAUUCUCUACGAAAUUCUGUUCCUUGUCAAAAUCCAAUGAUAAUGAUCUCCACAUGGCAUACUGUUCUGUUUCGUUUUAUUAAUAAUACGUAAGACUACCACUAGACUAUAAACAGUAUAUAGAUAAACUUAUCAUCACCUUUCAAUGUUCCAGUCAUUGACAAAAGUACUUGGAAUCCAAAGCAUCUAGGUUUUAGAUAUCUAUUACUUUUAUUGUAGUUUGUCGUUCCUUUUUUUUUGAAAUUGAGAUUAAAAAAUAUCAAGACAAUAGACAGCUGUUAUUUUCAAGUAGGUCAUGUAUUUAGAAAGAUGUUGUAGCUUUAGAGGCAUCUUGGCUCAAUUUAGAUAUUAGAAACCAAAGAUGUUAUCUGCAGCUUCCACGGCCUUCCUUUUGGCGUCUGGGUUCAUCUUGUCAAUGACCUCCUUGCGCGGCUUAAACUUACGGAAGGUGAACUCUGCAAAUAGAACAAAAGGAGCGUGCAGUCUUCAGUGGUUUACAUUAGACACCUCACCUCCAAUGAUGCCAUUGGAAUCCUCCUGAUGGAACACAAUACGGUUGCUAUCAGACCAAGCAAAGAGUUUGAUGCGGUACACCUGUACUCAUAAUAAGCAUGAGCUGUGACUGAAAUACAAAAGGCAGCCUGGGCACAAACCUUGAAGUACGGGUUUUGCAUAUCAGGGUACCUUAAGACCCCGAUGUCAAUUAUGGUCUUCUCGUGGUGCUCAUGCUUGGCAAAGAAAUUUUCAAAGCUGGUAAUGGUCGCCCCUGACUGAGCAACAAUGCGCCCAAGAACUUCAAUGUCGAUCUUGGUUGAUUUCAGGACGUCCUCAUCUGCAAUGAGAUUCACAAACCAGGUCUGAACCUGUGACGAGAGAAGGCCGCAAAGGUUAAUAGAGCUCUUCUAUAAUACAUAACUUCUAUUACCGCUUUCACAAUAGCUGCAUCAGGUGACCCGUCAAUCUUGAAAUCGCUAGAGCUUUUGUUGAGAAACUUGUCAGCUCUGCUAAUCCCAUCGCCCAUUGGCUCAACCAGGGGAUUUUGCAUGAACAUGGAGUUGACCUUCUCCCAAGUUCGCUCUUCUGGUGGCACUUUGGCGAGAAGAGUGGUGGUUCCCGAGAUGCAAACCUUGAGAACCUCAUCCAUCUUCUUUACUGUUUCUGCAUUCAAUGCCCCAAACGAUGGUGCCAGGUUGGUGUGGAGGUAAUCCUCGGAACUCUUGGAACGCACAUCAAUCUGGAGCAUUCCACAAGGAGUUAAGCACUGCUUUGGGCAAUACAGGUUCCACUUUACCUUGCUGAAAUCAAAAUUCGCCACAAUGUCACCAAUCUCCUUCAAUGAACCGAAGGCUCCCAGCAUUGUCACCAUGGUUGCCAUUGCAAUUCACCUUCAGAAGAGGUAUGUACAUACUCCUUACUCCAUACUCCAUUUUUAUAAUGGGGUAAAUGAGUUAGUUUAGUGCAGAAAACAUGGUUAACAAAAAUGAAAGUAGCUUUACUCAUCACGUGCUGCAUGACUUCGUCAUACAUAUACGGUUAAAAAACAAAAGCUGAUUAGGUGCAUUCAGCGUUCUGAAAGAUUAGUUUAGUGCAGAAAGCGAUUUCGGUGCAGGAAACGCAUUUACACCAAACAGAAAACGCCAAGCCUCCUUCGGUGCAGUAGUCUAGCUUGACCAUGACUUUGAAAAAAAUCAGAUAAUCGUUUCAUAUUCUUUACGCAUAUGCUUUUAGGGCAUGAUAAACUGCUCUCCUCUCCUCGCGUAGACGACUUUGCCCCAGCCGGUCGCUGGAACCGCAUCGCGUCGCAAAGGAACCAGUGCUUGUGGAAAACCACAGGUCCACUAAGUCAACUUUCACAUCGUCUCAGAGAGUUCAUUCAACUUUAAGAAAGUUUAAGCUUUAAAAACCCCUUGGAGAAUUGAUGGUGGCCGCGAACGUCGGAGAGUAGCAAAAGCUUGAUUGGGCUUGUCUGAGAUUGGGAGCCCGACUUGUAUCCAUCCAAGGCAGGCGUGAGAUGCUUUGGGUGCCCGAGACUAGGGAGGCGUUGCGGGCAUCUGUUUUUCCGAUCCCAGCAGAGUACGAAGGGACGACGCUGCUGCAGUAGUGCUGGGUUUUGAGGGUGACUAACAAAUCAACGUAGCCGUACAUGUGUAUCGAAGUAUGAAAAUCAAUGAAAAGCUAACAUUUUCAAUGACUGAAGACUAUGUUGAGUAAAUAUUGACUUUUAGCGAAGUUCUUACAUUGUACAGCUUGUCUUUUUGGAAGAUGAUGUUCAAGCUCUGAACGAGGCAUUCCCACAGGGAGAGAAGGUAUCUCUAGUUUCCCAUUUAAGUUAUUUCAUUGCUGGAUUUUCUCUCAGGAAGACACAUCCUGGGCUCUUACAGUUCUUUUCUACUUAGCCAAGCUUGUUUUUGGCAUUCUCGGGUAAGAAAUAGACUCGGAAGGCUUGACAAAGAUAUUCACUUCUUCUUUUGUUUUUCUUGUUGCAGAUUGGCUUUGUCUAUAAUUUGGCUUCUCCACAUCCUUGUUUUCAUGCUUGUCAAUCCUCCAGCUUUUCCGUUUCUGAACCAAGUCUUUAUUCAGCUUGACAGUGCCGGGGGUACUUUCUGUCGAUGCGAUCUCUAGACCUGAAUCGUUUCCUUGCUUUCAGGCUUGCUAGGAACUACCGCCUUUGCAAUUUUUUGCUACUACCUCGUCAUGUCUGUCAUAUCUGGAGAGAUGCAUCUGGGAAUGAGGCUUCUGUUUCUUUCCAUUCAUCCAAUGAAGUAAACACUUUUUUUUAAAAAUGUUUUUCUAUGAAACUAUAGGUACCAAGGCACGCUCAUGAACUCGUUUUCUUUUCAUCCAUGUUUACACGUGGACGUUUGCCCGAAUAAGCCCAUUCUGGGUCUAUCCGAUUCCUUUCUCCGAAAGAUGCCCUUCCUGGGCAAAUGCGUGAAUUGACGUGAAAACCCUGUUCUUGCGGAUGACUGGCCACAAUGUGAAUUGAUCUCUUGACGAUCGAUCUCUUCUCUGCGCUUCCAGCGAUCGCGAUCGAUUUCAGCGACACCUCCACGGAUAAAACUUGCAAAUUGGAUGCUCCAAUUAGCUGUCUUUUAAGGUCUCUUUAAGCUCUUGGAGCAAUCAGUACACAUUUCAUCCUUUCUUGAGUAAAAGAAUGCAGCUUAUCCAUAUACUCGUAGAGAUUUUUCUUGAGGAACGUAGCGCUUGCAAAUUGAUGGUCUCGUCCAAGCUCCAACCAGGUGAAGUUGUGAAGCGAAACCAAGAUCUCGUACGGGUUGUUUCCAAACGCACCAGCGCUGAUAGCAAUCUCCCAACACCGCACACUGUCCACUUACUCUUUUGGCACUCGUCCCACGAAGAAUGCCUUGGAUCCGUGCGAACCUCCUGUGCGACAUCCACCGCUUCUGAUGAGCAGAAAUGCUCCAAAUACAAGCAUCACAGCCCGAUGCCCGAUGCAUGAAGAAGACCUUUUGCUUGAAAAUGGAGAGCAUUGAAAAUGCGAGUGACUUUGUCCGUGGUCACCGCUUGCGAGGCGCAGAGGUCGCACAUCUGGAGAAUCCACCUGACCAGACAGGGAUCUCCUGCCAUCAAGGACAGCGCGAAAUCGAUGAAGAAAGCUUGAGUUAGAAGCUUGAGAGUGUGGUCACCUUGGAUUGCUCUUGACUUUUUUCAGAGAUUCCAGCUACGUGCUUUCGACACGAUCGCCGACAUUUGACCGGCUCCUCUGGUGCGAGUAGACAUCGCUGAGCUUCGUUUGCACGAUCCACAGAGCGAAUUUGUCGAGCCUGAGCACGCGGCGGGAUUGAGAGAGAGAUUGGGCUCUUGUUCUUCUAGAGACGGGGAGGAAGGGAAAAGAUCGCUGGCAGUGCACAACGAGAGUGGACUUGAGCCCGGCCUACGCAUUUCGGAGAUGCGAGCACAUAAUCUACCAGAAACCAUCGCCAUCACAAACGAAGCCUCCAGAUCUGGAAAUUCCAACUGAAAACCUGCUUAUAAACAGUGGGCUUAAAUAUUUUUUUGCUCAAAGUGCUUUUUCGUGUGCUCUUACCAAACAUCCAGUUUUAUACUUCCCAACGCGCGGGCCUCGUUUACGCUGCCGGAGUUUCUGUUCACGGCAGGCAAUGGUGUUGGUUUCCAUCCACCUCGCAUUGCCUUGGAACAAUGGAAUGUUGGAAAGUCGCCACUCAAACACUUAAACGUUGAGGGUCUCGCAUGUGCAGGAGGAAAGAUGACGCUGGUGGUGAGCAGCGAGAUCUGAGUGGAGGUUUUGGUGGACGAGAUUUUCUGCUAGCGAUGGGAUAGGCACACUUGUGCCUUUCGGAUUGUCAUUUAUUUAUUGACCAGUUUCUAUUCUUGGAAUCGCGAAGUCCACGAAGGCGAAAAGAUUUCAUGCUAAGCGAGCGCUCUACUUAACAGGAAGAUGAAAAUGCAAAAAGCUUUUACCAUUUUCACAAACAGAGCUAUCCCCGUUUUGCUCUACUCCUGUCUCGAACCUAAAGUAUCGAACAGUGUUUCAAGGGCUUUUGAUGGUAGUGGUGGAGUGUCGCUGUUUCCAAUGCUCAGAGGUAUCCAAAUCCUGGCCAUUCUCAAGCUCAGGAAGAAAGAGUCUAACAUUUCCUGGGACAUGAGUGUGCACCUGGAGGCUUAAACUUAUGUUCACUAUACAUGUAUUGUUGUUAUUUUUUAUGUUAUUAUUUUGUUGUUAUUUAUGUUAAUUUACAAUUGUAAAGUUUGUAAAUAUAUGUAUGCAUAUAUAUGCUAGGUAAUACAUUAAUUAUAAUACUAUACCAUCCAUUUAGGACUAAAUUAGUCCAUCCAUUUUUGUAUAUAAUUCAUAUACCUAUUCAUAUAUUUUGAACACUCACAUUGGUAAAGGUGAGGAAAGGCAACUUUUUUUUGUAAUCUAGUAUUCAAGAUGCAUUUGAUCUAGUGUUUAGGAUAUUGUUCUUUGUUUUUAUUUUUUCAUUCUUUUUUAAAUCUAGAUUUUUAUUAGCUUUUUGCAAGAUCUAAAACUCUAAUUGUAGUUGUGCUUAGAUUUACUCUUUCUUUUUAUUUUUAUUGAAUUUUUUUCUUCUUCUACUAUGCCAUGUCAUCAUCAAUCAAGGAAUAUGUUAUUUGAGAUUGUUAAUGUUACUCCAUUGGAUCAAACCUUUAAUGCUAUGGGGUAUAAUUAUAUUGGUGUUCUUGGUGUGUUGCUAUCUCAAAAUUUUAUAGGUGAUUAUAUAAUUUGUUCUGUUCUCGGUAUUAUGCCAUCUUUUGUUGAUAUGAAACAUGAUUGUGACAUCAAUUGGUGAAUUAUAGAUGAUGUAAUCUAGUUUUUGGCAAAUGUUCAAGGAUCUAAUUUAUAAGUAUGAGCUUGAGUGAAUUCUAGAUUGUUUUGAGAUUUUGCGAGAUAAGUGUUAAUCCUUUAAUUUCUUAUUUGAUCCUUUUAUUUUUACCUUUUGUUCUUUUUGAAUUAUUUAUUUAUUUUUUGAUUUGAACCACCUUUUUUUAUUUCUGAUAUUUCUUCCUCAUUUGUAAUGUUUCCUUUUCAUAGCACAUGGAUCAUUUGUGACUUUUAUCAUUCUCAUUCUCAAUCUAGUGUCCAUCUUCUACUCCACUGCAAUGAGUUAUGGCGAGGCUUGGCUUGGAUUGAUCUUCAGAAGGCGUGGCUAGUGGAAGUGAAUGCUCCUGCCUAGCAUGGAAAGCUGGUAUUGUGUUCUCCCGCAACGAGUUUGGCACCAGCCUUGAGAUUGGGAGGUAUUUGGCAGGCGAGGAGGGAGUGAGCACCGAGUACGAAGGGACCACCUUGCUGCGAGAGGAAGAAAAUCAAAGUAGCCGUUGAUUAUGCAAUCAACAUUUUCAAUGUGACACUUUUAAAAAGGUCAUGGUCAAACUAUUUGCUUAAUGUUUAAGCUUUAGACUGGUCGUAAAUAUGAGCAAGGAUAAUUCAACCAUGUCAGAACGCAGGACGUAUUCAUUUAGAAACUCAUGCUUGAGCUAGACAAACCUCUGUUCUCAGCUGGACAAGAAACUAAGAAAAGACCAAAGUGAAGUUGCUGUUUUGGAAAGAUUCGCAGCUUAUUAAUUUAAAAAAUUUACAACUGUAUUAACGUCUUGAUCGUCUUGUCCCGGAGUAGAUUUCUAGGAUCCUAAAAACUCGACCCUAUAGCAGGAGAUGUCACGCCUACUGAUCAGUACGUAAGCAUUUGCCAAAGAAAACUUACAAUGUGCUCGUGACAAAGUUCGUGAGUUACAGGAGGAAAAGCUUGACGGUUUUGAGGGCCUCCCUUUGCCUUGUUCCAUCAGCACUGGCUCCAGUAGCAUUCUCUAAAUUUCUAUUUUCGAAGUUCUGUUCCUUGUCAAAAUCCAUUUAGAUAUUCCCUUGUCUGAGAAACCUUGUUGCCCUACAAUAUUAUUGCGACAGUGUUCCUGGGGUCGUUUGCAUCAAAGCGACAGGAUGGGAAAAUCCAGCAAGAUGGAAAGCCAAAUGGCACUCAGAGCCGCACGACUAAGCCAUCAACUCGGCUUAGAGCUGAUUGAGCGUGACUUGUGGUAACCUUGAGCGCGAAGAAUCUACAAAGACCAAUUAGACAAUGAUAAUGAUCUCCACAUGGCAAACUGUCCUGUUUCGUUUUAUUAAUAUAUCACAGAGAAUACUUAUGCUUCUUGAUGGGCACCACAAGACUAUAAACAGUAUAUAGAUAAAUUUAUCAUCACCUUUCAAUGUUCCAGUGGAAGGCAAAAAUUUGCUACAUUGACAAAAGUACUUGGAAUCCAAAGCAUCUAGCUUUUAGAUAUUUAUUAAUUUUAUUGUAGUUUGUAUAUAAAGUCUUUGUUUCCCUGAUUGUCUCUUUUCAGAAAUUGAGAUUAAAAAAUAUCAAGACAAUAGAUAGCUGUUAUUUUCAAGUAAAUGAAGGUCACGAGGGGCUAUGAUUUGAUUAUUAUUUAGAAAGGUGUUUUAGCUUGAAGCAGGGGACAUCUUGGCUCAAUUGACACAGUCUGGAUAUUAGAAACCAAAGGUGUUAUCUGCAGCCUCUACAGCCUUCUUUUUGGCGUCUGGGUUCAUCUUGUCAAUGACCUCCUUGCGUGGCUUAAACUUACGGAAGGUGAACUCUGCAAAUAGAACAAAAGGAGCGUGCAGUCUUCAGUGGUUUACAUUAGACACCUCACCUCCAAUGAUGCCAUUGGAAUCCUCCUGAUGGAACACAAUACGGUUGCUAUCAGACCAAGCAAAGAGUUUGAUGCGGUACACCUGUACUCAUAAG
RNAcentral lists this long non-coding RNA (42447 nucleotides) under Selaginella moellendorffii. RNAcentral's name for it is "long non-coding RNA (SMOE_LNC000852)". The stretch from base 2212 to 2604 matches the Rfam family "Eukaryotic large subunit ribosomal RNA", at positions 2389 to 3399 of the family's 3401-position model. Lineage: Eukaryota; Viridiplantae; Streptophyta; Lycopodiopsida; Selaginellales; Selaginellaceae. The record is from RNAcentral.